UAAUUUAUUAUUUUAAUUAAUUUGUUAAUUAAAUAAUUAAUUAUUUAUUAGUGUACUUAUUUAAUAACCAAUAUUUAUAUUGAUUAAUUAAUUAAUAUUUUGACUAAUUUAAUUAUCUGAUUGUUAUUAACUAUUUUAUUUAUUAAUUUAUUAAUUAAUAUUUAGGAUUAUUUAGCAAUAUUCAUGAUUAAUUAGUAAAUUAAGUAAGUUGAAUUAUUAUUUAAUCAAUAUUAUUAAUUAGAUAAAAUAUUAUUAUAUUAAAAGUAUAAUUAUUCUUAUCCUUAGUAUUCCAAUCUAACCAUCCAAAUGCUAUUUUGCUUAUUCCCGAGAAAAACCCAAUUUUCAUCCAAAUGCAAAAUUGAUUUUAUCCUUGUUUAUCCCAAGAGUUGUACAUAUCCUAGGGAUAGCCUAAAUAGCUUAUUUCUGAACCAAACGAUACGAAAUUAAGUAUCAAAAUGGUAAUGAAACUGCUAGAAGGUAGUGGUGACCAGCGGCUUACCGAAUUUUCAUUGUGUGUAACUUUCUCAGGGCUCUUUUUCUGUGCAGUGUUGUCAAUGCAAGCGAUAUAGACCUGGUAUUACAGGGAUAUUUCUUAGUUUCAUGCAUGAUAAAGUUCUUGGUUGUGGAAACUCAUGUUGACAGUUUAGUGUCGUUAACGUAGCCCCUUUGUGCUAAAAUGCUAAAGGAUAGAGUCAUAGAACUGUCUUUAAAUUUCUUUACCAAAGGCCCUACUUUGAUGGUGUAAUAAUUUGGAAGUCACAUUUAUUUGUGACAUGAUAUUUUAGUUUUCAAUUUCCACUCCCAUAUCAUUGUUCUUUCUUUUAUAAAUAGCGCAAAGCCUUCGACACAAUUGCAAACAUCGUUUAUUUGGCGUCUUAUAUUGCAAAAUAUAAGUUUUUUCUCAGUAUGGACAAUCCAAUCAGUGGAACCAUUACUCCCUUAAUUUUUGUCUCAUUUACUGCGUUGUCAUCUUGUAUCCCCUCUCAUAAUAGUUUGGAAUUGGUUGUAACUUGUAACCUCUAAUGGGCUGCAGGGCUAACAUGUUUGUUACUCUAAGCAUGCAGUAUUUAGAUGCUUUAUCUAUCAGAAGCUAAAGAAAUACUAGAAAUUUGAUUUUUUAUAUGGACUUAGUUGAAUCCCCCAUCAACAUUGUAUGAAGGUUCAAGGCUUCAUUCGACCUUGAAUGAGAGUGGCAGGCUCUUUCCAGUUUCAACUUUUUAAAAUUUGUUCACUUGAUUGAGUCUCUUGUUUGAUCAAUGAAAACCUAUUAGGGCUAUUUAGUAGUAUCUUUGCAUAAUCUCCAUCUUGGAAACAUGGUACUGGUGAGACAAAACAGGGUUAAUUGUGGAAUCAUUUUCGUAAAGUGGUGGCUGCUUUCGUAAUUAUUUGGACACCACUAUAUGGGAAAGGCAGUAGACUUAUUCUAGGUAGAUUGUGUUUCACCUUUAUUGGAAGUAACUGUCUUUUGGCUGCAAAAAUAAGGUUUUGUUAUUCAUCAGUUUCAUGACCACUAAAUUGAAAAGAUAAGAUUUAGUUUCCCUCUCUAUAUGUAAGCUUUCUGAUAGUUAUGCGUUAAAUCGCAUUACAAAAUGUCAAGGUUGAGAAUGUUACGUCAUAGUAUAGUUCGGAGCUAUCUUUUAUGUGGAGAAUAGUUUAUCUCUUGGAUAAAUAUAAAUGGAGAGGUAGAUGCAUUAUUUCAAUCCUUUUUUUAGCAGGCACUUUUGUUGAUGAGAUAAUGAUUACGCUUAGAUCGGAAGCAUNUUUUUUUUUUAUUUUUGCCUACAUCAAGUGUAAAAUUUUAUCGCAUGGAUCAAUUCUAUUUUUUAAUAGUCAAUAUAACAGAUAAAUAUAAAAUUUUAUUGCAUGGAUCAAUAUUAUUUUUUAAUAGUCAAGAUAAUAAAUUCGUAUGGUUUUUGCCUUUAUUUUUUUGAAUCCUUCCUAUAAUUUAUUCUUAUAUUUUUAUUGCAGCAAUAGUUGCUUAUUUUUUAGUUACUUCUUUUUUAUAUAAUUGCUUGACUCUUUUUUUACUUUCUUUACUCUAUUUAUUUAUUUAUUUAUUUUUAUGAAAUCAUCCCGCCACAACGUGCGGGUCCUUCACUAGUAUAAAUAAUGGUGUGCAUCGUCUAUUCUUCCUAUCAGGUUUUAGUGAUUUGAUAUGCACUCUGCUCUGGGAGUCUCUAAGAAAUUUCUUUUCCUGACUGAUUGUAAAAUAUGGAUGUAAAUUUUUCUUUUUUGAGAAAAUGCAGACUAUUUUGUUAGUCUGUAAUUACAUUGUAAAACUAUAACAUAGUGAUGAUUGUCUUAACAAGCCUUUGAGAUGUAAUAUAGAACAUGUAGUACAUCUGUUAAACAUCUUAACAUAUAUAAUUUGAAUAUUGUAUCUACUAGAAUGCUAUUUGGUAAGCUAAAGAAACUCAGUCAUGUUAUAGUUGAGAUCUUUAAUUUGAAAUAUCUUUUUUUUUAAAAAAAAUUGACCUGCUUUAAUUAUGCUAUGCAAAAGUCACCAUGCAUAGCAAAUUACUAAACUAUGGUAAUUUUCGUAUCAUUUCAUCCGCAACUUUAUGAAAUUAUCCUUCUACUCUUUUGGCUUUACUGUGUGAUAUGGGCCUUAAAUUCUUGCAAAGAUUUAGAAAUUUCAUUUAGGAUGUUUCCUUCUUUUUCAGAUUUUUAAUAUAUCUAGACAGUUGACAAGAGGAUGACAGAAGGAAAAUCUCUUUUGAAUCCGUAUGCCUCUCCCUACAUACCUCUUUCGAGGAAUCCUGCUGGGAAGACCCUAGAGAAAGAGAACAAGGCUGUGGAGAAUGUACCAGACGAUCCGGAAAAGAAAGAGGGUGGUGAUAGGCCUUCAGAGCAUCAUCUCCGGGACUCUCUUUUGGAAGAAUUUGAUAAGCUUAGCUUCUCCGCGGAGUCAUCAUCGAAGGUGGAUCUCUCUUCCGGUUACGAUGACCCAUUUUAUGAUAGUGAGUUUGUGGACGUUGGCGAUCUCGAUAUAGCAGUGGAAUCUAUCUCGCUGAUGUUCCCCAACAUUUCUUUGGACUCAAUUGCUGUGCUGUUGCAUGCGAACGGUUACAAUCCGAGUCAGACGAUUAACGUGCUUGAACAGCUUGAGGUAUGCAAAUUUAUGGUCUUUCAUUUCCUUUACGCAUUAUUUUUCUUAGCAAAAAAACUGCAUGUAAAUGAGUUAACGUGUGCUUCUUAACUCUCUAGUUAUUGCUGCAUUUCGAAUUUAAUAUAGAAGUUUCCGAUUCAUGCGUAAUAUUUAAGUUGUCAUUCUUGAGCAUGUUUUCUAUUCAGAGUUCUUGAUGUUGUCAGGAAAAUUCUCUCCCUGCAACUAUAGCUACUAAAAUGAGGGUUUUACCAAUCACUUACUGGUCGUUUCGGUUUAAAAAGUAGAGUGAUAGAAAAGCCAUCUAACAUGGUGUUUGUUUCAUGCAUCUGUGAAACAACGCUGCUAAUGAACGGCGUUAUAUUUAACUCUCAGUAGCAUCCAAAGUAGUUUUCUGAAGAGGACAAAGUUACAGAUUACAUUGCAAAAAUUUGUUAAAAGAUAAAGUGACUAUUAAAGACCAAAACUACAAUAAGUUUAAAGUUUAUGAAGGAUAGUCCCUGUAUUGGUCACUCAAACGGUCUGAGUCCUUAAAAACUUUCACAUAUAUAUUGCAUUCACACUUUGGUCCCUGAGCAUUAGAAAGCCUCUGAAUUCCAUUCUGAAAUGAUUUUUUCACCAUCUUAGCGGCAAUUUGAAAUAGGUGAGUCAAUUUCACUAGUGAAGGGGUAAAAUGAUCGUUUUCUAAGAAAAAUUAGACCAGGGACCAAAGUGCAAUGCAUGCGAGAACGUUCAGGUACUCGAGAGUGCAAGUGAAAUGAUAUAAGCAUUAAGGAAAUUGCAAUAUUUGGAUAAGUACGACAAUUAUCCGUAUAUUAACAGUUGAGAGCUUUCUUUUGCCGCAAUAACUAAGUUUUCGCAUUCGGUUAACCGUUACAGUACGGAGAUGACGGAUUCGAGGACGUGGCCGAGCCUUCGGAGAGCUGCAGCCAUCUGGACAAUCCCCCUGUUUCUCAGGCAUCCAAGCCUGAAGACAGCUGCGGCUAUGAGGUCUGAAUCUGCGCGAUAAAGAGUCGCAGAUUCGACCUGCUAUCGUAUAUUCGUGUAUACAAGUAUAAUGCCCUUUCGCUCUCAGCAAGUGUUAUCGCCUCGGUUGGGGUGGGUUUCGCUUUCCGAAAAAAGAGACUAGCAAAACAAGAAAGGAAGAGAAGAUUGCCUUGGGUGAGUAUUACAUUUACAUAACAGAUUAAAGAUGGUCCAUUUCUGCUUAGCUGAUGACUGGUGACUCUGUUUUAGGGUUUUUCUUCUUUUAUGUGUGCAUUUGAACUGCGUAGCCGUCUUCUGUACUUGUUAAUUGCUUGUGCAGCUGAUGGUCAUGCUGUGUAGGUUACAGUAUUUGCAACAAAUUGCUGCUCUCUAGAGCUCAAACCAAACUUGGCAAAAAAAAGGAAGAAAAAGAAAUAAAAGGAAAGAAAAAAGGUUCUUGCUUCUCUCUCUCUCUCUCUCUCUCUCUCUCUCUCUCUUAUUUCGCAUCUUUAUUAUCCUAUUUUUCUUUUUCGAAUUUGCUACGAAUUUGCUAUUGCAUUUGAUACGUAUCAGAAAAGGUUUUACACGAUAUGAGAAAAGUUUCUGCACGAAUGUUGUUGAAUUCCAUGUCAGUGGAUGAGACCUUUCUCUAAACAUGGAAUUUAUACCUAUAUCAAUUUUAUUUUAUUUUUUUCCAUCUCAAUCAAUUCAAUUCAAUUCAAUUCUGAAACCCUUUGAAACACUUGUGAUUACACUAUGCUUACUAUUCAAAUGCCAUAUGCAUCUCUCUCCUCAAGUAGAUGGCGUGUCCAAUUUCAUGAUUAGGCCGAAAAGAUAGUCAAAGCAACUUCUGACCUUUUAGAACUGGUGAGUUUAGCCAAAUCAAGUAAAGAUUUUAUCAGAUUGAUUGAUAUUUUUUGAAGAAACAUAAUAUUUUUAAACUAUUUUAUGAGGGACAAAACUGGAUUAAUUAAUUGCUAGUAGCUAGUGUUUCAAUCAAAAUAAUUUAAAUCUGGGAUGGUCUCCAAACAUUUAUACCAAGAUUUUUUUGUGCAACAAAGAAUAUCCCAUAAGCAAAAAGUAGUUUUGCUAGAAAAAAAAAUUUUUUCUCAGAUUUUUUCUCAGAUUUCAUGCGAAAAUGGUGUUUUUGUUUUUUUUUCCAAUUUUUUAUACUAAAAUAAAAACUGUAGAAAAAAAGUAUAUCUUUCACGGAAAGAUUUUUUUUCUUAGAAAACAAUUUUCCACGUUUUUCUGAGAAACCAAUCAGCGAAUAGGAACUAAAAAGAUUCUUUUCCUCAUGGUGAAGUAUACCCAAUAAAGCAAUAACAAACAUUUUACAAAUAUACACAAAUAGAAUUAAAAAGAAGAAGAAGAAGAAGAUGAUGAUUUCCCCAUGAAAGAUCAUGUCUAGUGCUACUAAUUUCCUCUCUUCUGCAAAUAAAAGCCCUUGGAACUGACCACUGAAUCUGUUUUCUCCGACUCUCCUUCUCGUCAUGAUGAACUCUCCAAAUCUCUGUACAGAAUAGGGUUGUUACGGAAGUGAACACGAGCAAGCUGAGACCGGCUCAUAUUCGAUUUUUUAUUAAAUAACACGAACAUGAACUAACUUGUUAAAAUAUCGAGCUGAAGAAUUCAGUCGGCUCGUAUUCGAUUUUUUAUUAAAUAACACGAACAUGAACUAACUUGUUAAAAUAUCGAACUGAAGAAUUCAGUUGGUGUCUGGCUUGUUUAUUAAUAAAUCGAACACGAGCUGGCACGCGAAUAACAAAUUAAAUUAUCAGCCUUAUUACAGGAUUAAGAGCCGAAAGAAAAUUUUAAAAAAAAUAAAAUCUUAAUCUAAUAAUUAAAAUUCACAAAAUAUAAGUCUCUUUGUAAUUGGGUUGACAUAAAAUCCAAAUGGUAGACAUUUGUAACAUAUUCGAGCUAUACAAAUGAAAUGAACCGAACACGAGCAGACUAACCGUUGCAAGCUAAAAAAAUUCAGCUUGUAAUUAAACAAGCAAUUGAUCCCGAACUCAUUUCGAGCCGAACAUGAACUGGCUUGCGAACAGUGAGAGCUGUAUCGCCAGCUACAGAGUCUCAUGAACCCUAAUUGAUAAAGAGAUAACACCCGGAAACCCCUAUUCCGAUCGCACCUUUGAAUCAUGCAGGGACGGAAAUAAAAGAGUUCAUUUCUCGUCGCACGGUACAACUACUUGUUCUCACCUGCAAAUCUUCAUCAAUUGAUCUGUAACUACGAAUUCAAAGCAUAAAACUGUGCCCAGCAUGUAUGUGAAUCUUCGCAAAUCGAACGUACUUACUCUGAUUGACAUGACGAAAUGAAUACACAGAAUCAGCAACCGAUAAGUCGUCCAGAGUCUGCGAUUCAUGACAGUAAGUAUAAAAGUUUACUACUCACUGACGAGAAAUAUCAUCAUCUGAGAAAUUGCUGCCGCUGUCGGACUCUUUGAGCAGAUCUUGCAUAAACUCAAUUCAUUCCCCCUCCAGCAGCAUCUCAUUGUGAAUUCCACGCAUAAAACUUAACCAAAAAUGUAUGCGAAUCUUCGCAAAUCGAACAUACUUACGCACUAAGUUCUUCCAAUCCUUCUGCUUGACAUGACGAAAUAAAUACACAGAAUCAGCGACUGAUGAGUCGUUCAGUGUCGGCAAUUCAUGACAGAAAGUAUAGAAGUUUACUGCUUGCUGACGAGAAAUAUCAUCAUCUAAUAAAUCGCUGCCGCUGUCGGACUCUUCGAGCAUAUCUUGCAUAAACUCAAUUCAUUCCUCCAGUGGCAUCUCAUUGUGAUUUCAAUGCAUAAAACUUAACAAAAAUGUAUGCGAAUCUUCGCAAAUCGAACUUACUUCCACAUUAGGCUCUUCCAUCCUUCCGCUGACAUGACAAAAUGAAUACGCAGAAUUCGUGAUCUGUAAGUCAUUCAGGGACUGUUUGGUUUGUUGAAAAAGUAUGGAAAAAAAAGUUUUUCAUGAAAAAAAAAGCAUUUUUUGAGUUUUCCCAUCCAUUUUGGUUCCAAAAGAACUAACUUUUUUGAAAAAAAAAAGAAUUUCUAUAUUUAAUGGAAAACUAGUAUUUUCAUUUUCUGAAUUUUUCUGUGAAAAACGAAAACACUAAUUUUCUGUGAAAUCUAAAAAAAGAAAUUCCAAAAAAAACUAAUUUUUCUUGAAACCACACAGGCAGAAAACUAAAAAAAAGGAUUUCCAUGAAAAAGUAUUUUUCUCGAAAAUCCUUUCUCCAUACUUUUCUGAGGAACAAAACAGCCCUUCUCAGUGUCCGCAAAUCAUGAUAGAAAGUGUAGAAGUUUAUCGCUGCCACCGUCGCUGCGAACUUCGCCUCAUUUUCAAUCAAGCACCUGAUGUCUCAAAAUUUUGAUUUUAGUAUCUAAUUUUAUAAUAUGCUCGAUUUACUAUGCUCCAAUCAAAACUUAAUGAUGUUUUCGACCAUAUUGUUUCUUUAAAUUCCAGUAGAAUUUGAUAAACUUUUUUGAGAAACUUUAAUAAAUCAAAAUGAAUGUAAGGUUAGGUAGUAAAAUUUAAAUUUUCAAAGUUAUACCCAUUUUCCAAAAUGGGUUAUUGCUAAGUUAUAUGUUAUGAUAAUGAAAAAUCAAAAGGAAAAAAAAUGUUUAUCCUACACAGGAAACUUACACACCACACACACAAAAAAAAAAAACAAAAACAAAAUAUCGAAAUGUACGGAGAUCGAGCAUUUAGAGUAACUACCUGAACUUUCAAAAUUUUGAUUUUACCAUCUAACUUCAAAUAUAUUUUAAUUUUAUAAUUUUUAAAAAAAUUGUCAAAAUUCUAUUAAAACACAAUGGAUUUUUUGUCGCAAUAAUUAUAAAGUAUUUCAUCAAAUACCAUAAUAUGCUGUUUGGUUGCAAAAUAUCCUGUCAAAAAUUCUCAAAAAAAAAAAAAAAAACUUGAAUCAAAUACAAAUCACCAAAAAAAACAAAAAGAAAUAUAAGUAUAUAACAUAAAAUCACUUCAUGCUAAGAAAACAAAGACCAAUAUAAAUCGCAGUUCAUUUGCUAAAAAAAAAAACUACAAAGUAAUUUCUUAAAAAAAAGUAAAAAUAUACAGAACUUACCAGAACUAUGAAUCAUUUUGAGUUUAAUUACCUAAUCUUUCAAAAUUUUAAUUUUACUAUCCAACCUUACCAAUUUGCCAGAUUUGAGUCUGACGAAUUUGAAUCUGCCGUUUACUUUUAUAGAUUUAGUUAGUAUAUUUUAUACAAUUCUCGUAACUAUAAAUUCAUUAAAGUAAGUAAUCGGCUUAAAUUUUGAAAUCAAAAUAUCGUUGACUGACACAAAUCAAACAAAUCAAACAAAUUAAAAAGCUGGAUAAUAAAAUCAANAGUAAAAAUAUACAGAACUUACCAGAACUAUGAAUCAUUUUGAGUUUAAUUACCUAAUCUUUCAAAAUUUUAAUUUUACUAUCCAACCUUGCAAUUUGCCGGAUUUGAGUCUGACGAAUUUGAAUCUGCCGUUUACUUUUACAGAUUUAGUUAGUAUAUUUCAUACAAUUCUCGUAACUAUAAAUUCAUUAAAGUAAGUAAUCGGCUUAAAUUUUGAAAUCAAAAUAUCGUUGACCGACACAAAUCAAACAAAUCAAACAAAUUAAAAAGCUGGAUAAUAAAAUCACAAUUUUGAUAAGCCCUAAAAUUAAAAUUUAAAAAAAUUUAAAAAAUUUAAAAUCUCCUCAGAUGUCUCUUCAUCUCCACACACACUUCCACAUAACAGCAUCUGAGAUGAUGCUACUGCUGCUUUCGGAAAUUGGAACGAUUUUUGGAAGCAAACAGGGUAAGAAUAAUUCAUCAUCAUAGGAGGAAUCGUAGUAGUAGUAACAAUAAUAAUAAUAAUAAUUGACAAAAAAAAAAAAAAUCAAACCCUAAUGCUUCAUAAAAAAAAAUUAAUGGGCGAGAAAAAAGGGUAAAUUAGUGAGGAUGAAUCAUGAAUCAGACCUUCAUGAGAAUCUGGAGGGAGAAGAGGAGAGAAAGGAGCGGCGACGCGUGCGAAUGGUGUAUUCGGGAGCUCCAUUUCUAACCCUAACCCUAACCCUAACCCUAACUUAGCUUUUGUUUUCUCCUAAGAGGUAUUAAAUUUUUGUCACGAAAAUGAGUUAAGACAAAAGCAUAAACAAAACUGUAAACAUAGAUUUUUUUUUUUUUUGAGAUAGGUAGCACGCCAUCCGCUUCGUUUAUUUCAUUUAGAAAUAAAUUUAGCUGGAAAUGUGAAUCAACUAGGAUUCGAACUUGGGUCUCGGGUACCAACCACCAAACCCUUUGCCACUUGCUCUAGGGACGGUCGGUGUUUGGCCAAGAUUUUUAAAAAUAAGGAAAAACUUCAAAUACCAUCCCUAGCAUUUUUUUUUAUUUUAUUACCCUGUGAUUUAAAGUGUAUCAAUUUGGUAUUCAGUGAUUUAAUUUUUUUCUCUUUUUAUUAUUAAUUCUACUAAUUUUUUCAUUAAAUCAGUGACAAUGUUAAAACUAAAGGAUACUAAAAUAAAUAUUCGAUAAAUCUAAAUGGGGUAUUUGAAGUUUUUUUGUAUAUAAUUUAACAAAAUAUUAACGAAUAAGCCGAUGAAAAAAUAAAAAUGAAAUCACAUGGUACUAACUUGAUACACUUUAAACCACAUGAUACUAAAGUUAGAAAGUGCGAAAUCAUAGGAGUGGUACUUGAAGUUUACCCAAAAAAUAAAUUUAGAAUCAAAAGUGAUUUGUCACUCGUUUAGAGCUUUUAAUACUUUUUUUAAGGGUUAAUUAUCUAUCGCUAACCCUAACCCUAACCCUAACCCUAACCCUAACUUUGCUUUUGUUUUCUCCUAAGAGGUGUUUGGCCAAGAUUUUUAAAAAUAAGGAAAAACUUCAAAUACCAUCCCUAGCAUUUUUUUAUUUUAUUAUUCUGUGAUUUAAAGUAUAUCAAUUUGAUGCUCAGUGGUUUAAUUUUUUUCUUUUUUUAUUAUUAACUUUAUUAAUUUUUUUUGUUAAAUCAGUGACAAUGUUAAAAUUAAAGAAUACUAAAGUGAAUAUUCGAUAAAUCUAAAUGGGGUAUUUGAAGUUUUUUUUGUAUAUAAUUUAAUAAAAUAUUAAUGAAUAAGCCAAUGAAAAGAUAAAAAUGAAAGCACAGGAUACUAACUUAAUAUACUUUAAACCAUAUGAUACUAAAGUGAGAAAGUGCGAAACCACGGGACGGUACUUGAAGUUUACCCAAAAAAUAAAUUUAGAAUCAAAAGUGAUUUGUCAUUCGAUAGAGCUUUUAAUACUUUUUUUAAGGGUUAAUUAUCUACCGCUUCCCAUAAACACACCGAAUAACAGGUAUGUUCCUACAUAAAUAAUGUUUAAUUUUUUAUUUUUAUUUUUAUAAAAAUUCUAAUAUUUUUAAAUAUACUCGUCUAUUAAGAUCUGUUAGAAAAAUAUAGUUAAUCAUAAGUAAAAUAUUUAACUCUAGUUAAUGAAUGAGUUAAAUGAUCUUUUUACCCCUCUAUAUUAUUGGAUAAAAUAUUUUUUGGGAAGCACAUUUUUGUAUAAUUCUAACCGUUGAGACUUUUGGCGAGAUAUAUAUUUGUAAGGAUAAAAAUGUCAUUUCACUUAUCUACUGUUAAAAAAUAAACAGUGCUCUAACGGUAACAAAGCAGAGGAUAAAUAUGAAUAUCACUGGACUUUCGUAGAUAUAAAAAUAAAAAGUUGAACUUUGAAAGGAUAUAUUUGUUAUUUAAUAUAUUACAGGGAGCUGUAUGUAAUUAACUCUUUUUUUAAAGAAAAAUACUUCUUGUACACCCCAACAUCUUACACCAGCAAUUCUACUAUUGUUAAAAACCGAAUUGAUUUUUAGUAAAAUUUUAAAAAUUGAUUGACAAGAAUAAUUUUAGGAUAGAGUGGGUGUAAAAUAUACACCCCAUUUUAGAAGAUACGUGUAGCAUUUUUAAAAGUUUUUUUUUUUAAGGUCGGAAAUUGGAAACAAUUAAAACAUACUUCUUAAAAUCUAUUUUUUUUAUUUUGAUUUCAAAUAUUAAACUUAAAUUUAAAUUUAAUAUUCAAAUUAUAAAUUUAAAUUUAAAUUUUAAAUCACAAAUUUUCUAAUGUUAGGUCAUGUUCACCUAAACUUUUUCAAGGAACAGCGGGAUGUACAUCUUACAUCUUUUUCAUUUAAGAAAUAUCAUUCUUUACUCAUCAUGUACAAAUUUUUUUAACCAAAAUUCUAUGGAAUUUUUGUGAACCAUAUGAUCGGGAGUAUAUGAUCAACACUCCUCAUUUGUAGUGUACGAAUAGAAUUUUCCUUUCCAUACAACUUUUAAUUUAUUAUAGUUUCUGGCUCAAAUUUUUAAAUUGUAUUAAAUCCUAAGAUGCAAUUAAGUUAACCACCACAUUAGUGGAACAUCAUGAUUUAACCAAUUAGAUUUUAAUAUUGACCCCUAAACUUUUUUUUAUUUGAUAUACACCAUCUCAACUUAUUAGAAGUUUGAUAUACAAUUUUUGCUUGUCAAUAACAAAAAAAUUGUUAAAAUCAAAAGCUAGUAGAAUGCAGAGCCAAAAAAUUAGGUUUGCAGCUUAAUAUUGAUCAAUAUAUUUUAAAUAAUAAACAAACACAAAACCAAUAAACUAAUAUACUACAAAUUAGAAAACAGAACAAUAUGGAAAUAUAUUAGAAUUUAACAACAAUUACAACUUACAAAGUCAAUAACCCUUCAUUCUUCUAAAAUAUUACACUUAUUUAUCGUCUUACUAAACCCUAAAAUUGCUAAGAAAAGAGUUUAAAUCAAAGUUUGAGUGAGUAGAGGGGUGAAAAUAAAAUAAAAUAAAAUAAAAGUACAGAAUUUAUACAAACUAUUAACCAUUUUAAAUCGACUACCAACCUUUCAAAAUUUUGAUUUUAGCAUCCAACCUUUCAACUAGUUGUUUAUACACAUUGUAUAAUUUUUGUAAUAUAUUAUAUUAUUUAUACAUGAUAUAUUAUAUUAUUCGCAAUAUAGUAUACAAUUGUGUAACAGUAUAUAAAUUGUAUUGCAUUAUUUAAUAUAAAUAUUGAAAUAUUUACACAAAUAUUGCACUAUUUGGAAGAAAAUAUUGUAAAAUUUGAGUAAACAUUGCACUCUUUCAUCUUACUAAUUAUAUUAUAUUUUAUAUCUUAUUUUUAUUUUGUCUUCAACGAAAAUUUUCGUCUCUCCAGAAAAGUACAUGUAAUUAUAAUUUAAUAUUUUUUUUCAAAAAAUUUGACAUUUUAUUUAAUAUACAAUAAAAUAUAAUUUAUAAAUAAGAAAGAGUACAAUAUAUUCAUCUAAAUGAUACAAUAUUCUCUUCUAAAAUCCAAUAUUUAUAUAAAUAAAUACUAGUUAAGGGACCCGCGCGAUGUUGUGGGUAGUUAUUUUAAAAUUUAAUUUUGAAAAUUAGUUAUAAAAAUUAAUUUCAGAAUAAUUAUAAAAUAUUACAGACAAAUUUCAGAAUAAUUAUGAAAUAUUACGGACAAAUUACGAAAUAAUUUUAAAUAAAUAUAGCUACCUUUCGUAAUAUAGAAAAUAUAAAGAGCUCUCUCAACAAUAAGAUAUUUUGAAAUAGUUCUUCAACUUUAUUAAAUAUUUUCUCAUUUUGUUCUCUUUUGUUUGAUUUGAUAUUACUAAUUUUGUAAGGUUAUCUAUAAUAUUUCUAAUAUUUUCAGGUAUACGAAUGAAAUUAUCCCAUACUAAUUAUUCCAAAUAUGACCGCAUGUCUAAGGAGUUGAGAAAUAAUAAAUGGUGCAAUAAGUAUAUCAAAAAUUUUUAGUAGGCACGGUAGUUAGCAGAAUAAUUUUUAGUAGGUAUCGUAGUCCUCCAGUAGUUAGUGAAUGAUAAGAGAAAUCAUUGCUUGUAAUUCUCGCAAUUAACUUUCGUCAAAUAUAAAAUUAACUUAAGCUGCAUCAAUCUUUUUUUUUAUUUUUUAGUGUACAAUUUAUAUGUGAAUGCUCAAUAUUAUAAAAUUAACAUUUAUAUCUAAUACCAAUAGUCUAAAUUAUUUAACAUUUAUUUAUAUAUUUUAUAUUUUAUAAAAAUAAUUAGUAAAUUAUAUAAUAAAUUAUUAUAAUAAUAAUAUAUCUAUAUAAANUAAAAAUUACGCUUCUCAAUGAAAAGGUAUCUGAAAUAAUGACCGUCAAUUGUACUUUUCAAGAUAUUUAAAGCGUAACUUUUUUAUGCAUAUUGGAAGAUGAAUAGUUUGGUUAUUUUUUAAAAAAGCGGGUCAAAUCUAUAAAAUUUUAGAAAGUGGAAUACAUAAAGCCCAUUUAUUAAUUAGAUUUUUUGGAGAUCAAUUUGCAAUUUCAUAUUGAAAAAGUAAGAAAGAGAGGUAUAAAUUAAAGGAAAAACUUCAAAUACCACUCUGUGGCUUCGCACUUUUUCACUUUAGUACCUUAUGGUUUAAAGUGUAUCAAUUUAGUACUCUGUGGUUUCGCAUUUUCUCACUUUAGUACUCUGUGGUUUAAAGUGCAUUAAUUUAGUACCCUGUGGUUUCAUUUUUCUCUUUUCGUCAGCUACUGUAGUGUCCCUGGUGUUUGGUUGCUUGUGAGAUUUCAGCAUCUGAGGCUUGUCGACAUAUCUGGAGAGUAUCGGGACAAGUCGGAAUUGUUUUGCACAAAAUAGACGCAAAACGGACUCAAUGCGAUGCGAGAGUGGAGUUGUAAGAACUGAGAUUUUUGACCGUGUAACUAAACUCUCUGUUGACGAUGUUUAUGUGUGUAAUUUAAUUACAUAAGCACUCGUCAAGCUUCAGGAGAAACUGAGCUAAAACGGAGAAGUUACGCGAUUAUUAGUUUUCACUUAAGUGAAUAGUAACUCCGGUUUUCCGGAGAAGCCACGGAGUAGAGUUGGCUUCUGGUGCGUAUCGGACUCUGUUCAUAUCAGUCCAAUAGCUCGUUUCGACCGGUUCAGCUAUUCUGGAACUACUGGCGCUGACGGAUUUUAAGUUUGAUGCACGAAUUUCGAGAAAAUCCGAAAAUACAUGUUUUAUAUGUAUUUAUGUGUUAUUCGUUCUAUUGGAAAGAAAGUUUGGAUUCUGUCGUGAAUCCGUGGUCGAUCGUGGUGAAACAAAUUGUAGCUUUGUUGUCUCCGAGGUGCUGAUCGCACUGGUGCAAUCCGUUCGCAAAUCUGACGGACGGAUCUGCGGAGAUCGCACGUUGAUCGAGGAGAGGUCGGUGUUGGAAAAUGGGUAAUUUCGCAAAAGAUGCGACAUUUUAUGUACCGUUUUGCGUGGGAUCGCACGUGGAGGGGUAUUCUCGCUUUUUUACACGCACUGUGGAGGGCUCGCUAUGAAAUUCUAAGUUUUGGUGGACUUUCUUGCAAUUUUGCGCCUUACUUAUAGUGUUUUCUAGGGUUUUUCUUGAGAUCCGAGCCCUAGAUCAUCCCUAGUUAACCCUAACCGCACCCCAGCCACGUUCUUGCCUCCCUCUGACCUAGCCGCACGACUCCCGGCCGCCGCCGACUUAUCUCCGGCCAUGCACUACCACCCCAGCCUUUUCUUUCCCUCUCCCUCUCUUGUUCCCACAUUCCUUCUCCAGCGGCUUGGACCCGAGCAAGGGGAGGACUCAAAACCUCCUCCCUCGGCCGCCUCCACCCUCCCUCGACCGCAGGCACGCAGCCGCCGCCGCCCGAGCCGCCCGGAGCGCCGCCGCAGCCGCUCCAGCCAGCAGCAGCCGCCCCAGCCCGAGCCCAGGCCGAGGCAAGCCUGCGGCCUUUUCUCUGCACCGCCGCCAUCGUGACCACCCCGGCUGACUCCCCGGAGCCCUGGCAUCCCUCCUAGCCGACUGUCGCCGCCCCUGCGGGCUGCUGCCGCCGCUGCGGCCAUCCUGCAGCUGCCCCAGGUCUGCUCGGGCCGAGCAGACCUGGUAGCUCCACCCUCACGCCGCAGCCCCUCUUUCCAUCCUUGCGGCCUCCGUCUCGACCUCCGGCACCCCCUACCCCCGUCCGGAAAGGUCGCCACCGCCGCCGCGCGCCGUGGGCGCCGCCACCCCGGUCUCCUGACCGAGCCAAUCUCGGGUGGCCGCGCCCGAGCCGCGGGUUGCCGCCGCCCUUGCCGGCUGCCUCCCUCCUCAUCCUCCGACCUCGAGCGACCCCUCGCCGUCGGCCCGAGGUGCCCCGGCCACUGCCGAGAGCUGCGUGCCACCCUGGACCCGAGCCGAACCUAGUGCGGGCUGGGUUGGUUCCACCGUUGCCGCCGCCGCUCCUCGUCGCCACCUGAGGUGAGCACCACGUUCCUCACCUCUCCCGCACCCAUCCCUGGCCCCCGUGCGCGCCUCCAUGCCGCCGGAAGCCGGCCGGAGCAAGCUUGCUCCGGCCAAGCCCGAAAUAGGGUUUUUAGGGAGUGGGUUGCCGUUUUGUGCUUUCUAGGGCUUCUCGACCCCUACGGAAGGGAGCACGGUGAUCGUGGCAAAUUGCUGAUCAUCGUGCUCACCUUAGAUUCUGUUGGGGAGACUCCGUUCUGCUGUUUUCGCUGUGCCGACCCUGUGGAGCCUAUUUGGCUGCUGUUUUGGGUUUGCGCGCGCUUAUCCGGCGAUCCGAGGCUGUCCUGAUGCCUCCGGAGGUGAGCACGGUGAUCGUUGGUCUGUGCCGAUCACAUUGCUCACCUCACUUUGGAUCAACAGUGUCCGGUCAGCCCUGUUUGGCGCGAUCUUCCCCGACUGCGCGCUGUUCGCAGAACUUCGGGUUGCUCCCUCGCUUCCCACAGUGACCUGUUGCACUCCAGACCGUGAGCACGGCCUCCGGCACGUCGAGACCUGUCAAUACGUGUCUCGGCGGAACUUAGAGGUCCUCAGUUUGUGAGAACGAGUCAUAGGAGUCGCCCGAUUUACAUAAAAUGAUGGAUUUUAUGUAAACAUAAGGGCUUUUGUGCAAUUGUACGCCUUGUGGCUACUGUGGGCAGCGUGUAAGAGUGUGUUUGACCUCUGGACUGAUUGUCCAUGAUCCUGUAGCUUUCGCGGAAAUCGAAAGGUCGAUUUCGGUGCGUUUUUCGACGAAAUUCGUCGAAGGAACGUGAUUUCGGUUCGGAUUCUUUCCGACGGUGUUUUGUUGCUCUGUGUUUUGUCGCUGAGCCUUGUCGGCUGGUCACCAUCAUUAUUUUGUAGGUUCGAUGAUGAUAGGUGAGCGACGGAGGGUUCCGGUGUCGAAAUAGACACUUUCGGGAACCCGGGUUCGUACAAAUAUCCGGCGAUAAUUGUGUAGGGGUGUUAUCUUGUGUUUGCUGCCAAAACAUCCAAAUUGGAGUGUUUUGGGGCAGCAGGUGACUCGUGACACGAGUCGGUGAGUUUCGGGACACUUAAUGGGUCCCGACGGCGUCCCGGUGUGGUUUUCGGGACUUCCGGCGAGUUACGGUAAUCGGUAUUGGGAAACCGAUCUUCGUGGAAUCGUUUGUGGGGUUGUGGAUACUGUGAUUAUUAGUUGUGGGUUAGAUACUAACCCGGUGGAUCCUCUAUAGGUCCUGUCGACUUUCUUUUGCAGUCAGGAGACAGACGCGACAUCCGUACAGGUGGGUACUUCGAUCCGACGUCGGUACAGUGGUGCACGCUCGGUGAUAUUCUUCUAUCCUUGUUCUCCUGUUAUUAUUAUUGCGUAGUGUAGUUUAUUGAGCAUCGCACCCCUAUUGUCUACAUCUUACUCUACUCAUUGUUUUCAUGAUUAGUAUCCUGAGUAGGAGUAGAGUAGUUAUACCGUAUUUUCUUGUUACUCUACUUGCCUGUUCUACAUAUCUUGGGUCAUGUUUAUAGUAGAGCGGUUCCGUGACUAUCUAUGAGAUCUGUGACCUAGGCGGUCGAUUCUAGUAUCCCAUACUUGUGACUUAUUCGGUGAGUUUCUUGACUUUUGUUGUCCGAUGACCUUUGAGGUCGGUGUACCCUGAGGGGUAGGAUUGUCGGCUAAGGCCGACGGUAGUUCUAGAUUAUAUACUCAGAUGACUUGUUGAUCGAUUCUUGCAUAUAUACAGUAGUUGAUCUAUUGAUCAGUAUCUACAUACUUUUGGUAGGGUGUUGAGUUGUUCCAUCCUAGUUGACCUGAGUGGUCGGUUCUUGUGCUUCUUUACAGUGAUGACCUAUGCGGUCGAUAGGCCCUGGGGGGCAGGAUUGUCGGCUGGUUGCCGACGGUUGAUCAUUGACCAUAUUGCAUUGAUCGCCCGAUACUCGUCGCAUUUCACGAACACUGGCGGUCUAAUCCACCGCAAGGAGUGUUCUUUUCCGGAAAAGUGGUUGAAUGGUGACAACCCGUGAGCCCUAGAGGGGUUAUAUGCAUGUUAGAGCGGCAGUGAUACUGUCGGGAGGUGUUGCGGUGCGGACCUCCAGGGCAUUGGCUUGAGGUCUGCGGUGCUGACCAAGAGAGCAUUGGUUUCAGAUUGGGUACUUUUGGACUGAUUGUCCCAUUGACGCAUAUGUUUAUAGUAGCAGUCGUUGCAUGCAUACUCACAGAUCUUACUUUAUAGUUAUCUUGCUACUAUAGUAGAUACUCGUGUAUGCUUCCUGUUCCAGUUACAGUAGCGGUAGCCGUUUAUUCAGUAUAGUUCUUACUUCCUUUCAGUUUAUCGCUAUUGUAUAUCUACUCAUUACCUUGUUUAUUUCCACUGACCCAUGUUGUUGUUUAGUUCUUCCUGAUCCGGUGAGUACUCCUCGCCUUCAUCGGCUUGCGGUACCUACUGGGAGGGGAGACAUGUUUACAUGUUCUCACCUCCCCCACCAUUUUUUCAGGUAUCGCGGGCGGUAAAUAGUGGGACGAGACGUGAGGUACGUGUGUAGCGGUCGAUAGAGCUUCCGACCCAGGUUAUUUCGGUAUAGUUAUUACCCUUAUUGUUUCAGUUGUUAUAGCUUAGAUAGUUAUAUGGUUCAGUAUUUUUAUUACAUUUGAAAAUAUGAAUUUUCGUAAAUGUAAUAAACGGAUUUCUGGAUUUUGUAAAAUAAAAGGUUUUCUACCGCUCGUGGUAGCGUUUUUAAAGAAUAAAGGUUUCCGUGUAGGAAACAGUUUUCAAAAGAUUUUCUGUGGAUUUUGCAUCCUAGUAUUUCAAAACCUGUUUCUGUGGUUGGAAACAUUUUAACUGAUAGAUGUGGAUUUAUGUUUAAAUAUCGAAUAUAUAAAUGUGAACCUGUGAUGUGAAUGGUGUAUGAACAUAUAAUUGUUGGUUAUUUGUAUGUUCAUUUGGUCGUGGUUGUACCUGGGUUACUUCUUAUACUUGUGUGACGCCGUGCAAAUACAGGGGAGACUCUGUCCGUGUGAACAGUGGAUUUCCUGUGUUUGUGGCGGAUCUGGCAUACUCUGGGGUCAGGCUUUCAAAAAGAAAAAAAAAAAUUUUUAGAUGCUUUUUCCGCUGUGUUCAAAUAAAAAGGGACCCCGGGGCGUGACAGGAGUUCUGACAUUGAAAUUCGCAAAGUGCAGGAUUUCAGUAUUGAGUAUCAGUACCAGAGAAAAGUACCGGUACCCCAGUGGAAUUACAUAACAGAAUGCUCUCGGGUUUGCGUGAGAUGAUGCUGAGUACCGGUAUUGACUUAUCGAGUACUGGUACUGAGCCCGGAUAUCGAUAUUGCAUCGGACUGGUACUGGUACCCAGUGUGCGAGGCUGCGGGCUGAAGGCCUGAGUACCGGUAUUCAAGUGGAGUACUAGUAUUCCAGCUGGAUUUUUGAGUAGGUAAGGAGUAGUUUGAUCAUUUGAUGUGUCGAUAACAUCAACCUUAUCCUCAACCCUUAUAUAGGUGUAGAGAGCUCAGAAAGGAGGACUUUUGUUCUACUCUUUCUCUCUCUCUAAUUUUGGACGUCGCUCGUAGUGGAGAUUGCGGCUCGAGCUCGGGUGGUUUUCGACGUCGAUCCUAAGGGCCGUUCGAGCGUGUGUGCGUCGCGGUUACGCCGUUGGAAGUCGGGCAAGUGCGUGGAUUCUCUCCUUUCGACUUCUUGCCGUUGUUGGACGAGCUUCUUAAGAUGGGUUGAAGUUUACCGAAAUAGUCGGAUUUCCUCCUAAGCCGAGAUUUUGUCAGCAUGUGUAUUUCAUGUAUAGUAUCAUGUUAGUAGCUCAAUUCACCGAUUUGCAUAGUUUUUAUGAAAUCUGAGUUGGAGCUUUAAAUUUUAGAUUCGUUUUACAUAUUAGACUUGAAAUUAACUUAGGAGAAAAUGAUUGAAUCCUACACUAUGAUUUCUGAAAAGUUAUCAGAUUUAGUUUUAGGAGCUGUGGUUCUUUUGUAUCAUCGCUGUUAGGAUGCAGUGGAUACCCGGAUUAGUGUAGGAUGAGUUUACGCUCGUGCUGAAAUUCUGAGUUUGUUUUACAGUAGGGUGUAGACCGUUUUGUACUGUCGGGUACCGUCGCGGUUGACAGUGGACCCAGAUUUCUAUAUCUUGUAUCAGAUUGUGCCAAGGGCACGUGAGUUUUGGUUGUUAGACUAGUUAGACCCAGUUGCAUUGACUAUAGUCUGUGAGAGCCUGAUUGAGUUCGGUAGAGACACUUACAUACUCGGUUGGGUCGCGCCCACGAGUGCCGCUCCGGAGUGAGACUUUUACUUGCGUUGAUGUCGCAGUCGUCCUGUUUUGGACCGUUUACUUAGACCGACUAUCCCUGUGGGUGGUGUACGGUGUAGCAGGGUUACAGACAGGGUGGGUCCGUUUGGGCAGCCCUAGUGAGAUUGGAUCAGUGUGAUGCAUUGUCAGAUCUACAGAUAGCUUGUAUGGGCUAGCAAUAGUAUAGUGGCAUAUAGCUGUAGUUUUCCUUCCGGCUUUCUUUACUAUCAUUUUCCCAUAUAUCUGUAAACUUAGUGGGUGAGCCGUUGAGGUCGGUGACGGUACCUACUGAGAACUACUUAUUUUAUAGUAAUUCUCACACCCAGUUGUUGACCCCUUUUUGCAGAGCCUUCGGCCGCGGCUGCUGUUGUUAUGGAUUCCGAUCGAGGCAAGGGAGUCGCUAGUUAGAGCCACCUCUUCCCUGGUUGCCAGCUAGAGGAGCACCUAUCCAGAGGUAGUUUUGGGUUUCCUUUUCACAUACUGUGAUGUUGUCGUUGUACUCGCUGAUGCGAGUUGGGUUGUAGACAUUUUGUAUGUACAGGAACCCCUCGAGGUUUUUUAUAUAUAUAUGUUCAUUUUCGUUUAGCAGCUCUAUACUACUGGUUGUAGUUAUGUUGUGAUUACAGGUAUAGCUAUCGCUUCGUAUGCACGAAAUAUUCCUGUGUAUACAGCAAGUCUAUUGGCGUGCCUGGAAAAACAUGGUAAUCCGGGGCGUCCCAGCUACUCUGUUAAUAUUUCAUUAAAUUAUAUACAAAAAACUUCAAAUACCCUACCUAGGUUUAUCGAAUAUUUAUUUUAUUACUCUUUAGUUUUAAUUUUGUCACCAAUUUUUUCUCAUCCGUCAAUAUUUCAUUAAAUUAUAUACAAAAAACUUCAGGUACCCUACCUAGGUUUAUCGAAUAUUCACUUUAGUACCCUUUAAUUUUAACUUUGUCGCUGAUUUAACGAAAAAAUUAGUAAAAUGGAUAAUAAAAAGAGAAAAAAUGAAACCAAGGGAUACUAAUUUGAUAUACUUUAAACCACACGGUACUAAAGUGAGAAAGUGCGAAACCACAGGGACUAACCAUAGGAUACUAAUUUGAUAUGCUUUAAGAGUCGUGCUACCCAUACACCCCAUAUUGAGUUGUAGAUCCUACAACUCUUUGAUCCAACGGGUGAUAUAAACUUGGUUUAAAAAAAAAAAAAACAGUGUUAACCUCACUCCCACAUUUUAGCCCAUCACCUUUUCCCUCUUUUUCCCUAAUUUUUGGCGCCAGCGAGCUAAAGAGAGAGAGAGGCGAGCGCGCCAGCGACUGAGAGAGAGAGGCGAGCGAGCGAGCCUGCGACCUAAAGAGAGAGAGGCGAGCGAGCGAGCGACCGAGAGAGAGAGGAGAGCUCGAGCAGGAGCGGGAGCAGGGCGCGAGAGAGAGCGAGGGCAGGGCGCGAGAGGGAGCGAGAGGAGUUGUGCUGUGCUAGAAACAGGGAGAACGAGAGGAAGAGAAAGAAGCGCGAAGGCGGAUUCUGUGAUCAAAUUGGACGCGGCAAGUACGGAGGCGACAAUCGAGGAUGCGGCAAAAUUGAACGACGUAGUUUACCCCAAGCUCAACGAUUCGUACACUGCCACAUAUAUAACCAGGUAUGAGAUGUUUAAUUUUUUAGUAAAUUAUUUAUUUUUAAUUGUGGUGAAUUAUUUGAUUAAUUUCAUCACUGAUUUGAUGUAUGAUCUAUAUGUUAAUAGAUAAUAUAUUUUUAGGACAUAGUAGAAUCUUUAGAUGUCUAAAUUUUGACAAAUAAUUUUCCUGGUCACUAUUAUUCUAAUUUAGUAUUCUAACUCUAUAUAAUGUCUUACAGGUGAGCAAUUUACUUAAAUUUGUUUAGUUGAGUGAUUAUUUGGAUUUAAUAUUUUUGAGAUGGAUGAAGAAAGAAACAGUGAGGUUAGGGAUGUAAAUAUAUCGGCAUCAGAAAUUGGACUGACUUUUAUCAAUUUUGAUGCCGUUUUUAAUUUCUAUAAGCAUUAUGCACAAGAAAUAGAAUUUGCAGUUGUAAAGAGGUCAACAAAAAUGACCGAUGGCAAGGCUACAUAUGUAAUAAUCGCAUGCUCUCGUCAUGGAAAAACACGAGCUGAAUGUUUCGGCUCGUGAGCCAGCUCGUGAGCCAGCUCGUCUUCGGCUCGUUAAUAAACGAGCCAAACACGAGCUGAAUGUUUCGGCUCGAUACUUUAACGAGCCAGCUCGCCGAACACGAGCCGACCCCAGCUCGCUCGUGUUCGGCUCGUUUACACUCCUAAGUGUAACAUUGUGUAAUUGAUCCUAAAUAUUGUAGGUCGAGUUUCAAAGCAUGUACAGAAAAUCGCACUCCAAGUUAUUAAGUACGGGCCGAAAAUGUGCUUUGCGUACAAGUGUAAAUCAAUUACGAGUGAACGUGGUUUCAAAAACUACAAUCUCUGAUACCGGUGACAGCGACGACAAUUUUGUUGAUCCACCUCCAAAGAACAGUGUAAUAUUUCGAACGAAGAGAACUGUGCAUAGUGAACCUCGACUGAUUAGGACAUAUAUUAGUUGUGAUAGUGAUGAUAAUUUUGUUGAUUCUCCACCUACAAUAGUAUAUAUUAGAUAAUAAGCUCCGCUAUUGAUGUUAUGUACAUAUAACUCUGGCAUUUAAAGUUUUUAAAUUAUUUUACGGUAUGUGCCAGAUUUAUAAUCAAUAUUUGUACUAACUAUCUGUCGUAAUAUUGCGUCAGUUUGUAUGCAUUUCUUAUUUUUAUAAUAUUACAA
RNAcentral lists this long non-coding RNA (22293 nucleotides) under Ananas comosus (pineapple). RNAcentral describes it as "long non-coding RNA (ACOM_LNC036459)". Lineage: Eukaryota; Viridiplantae; Streptophyta; Magnoliopsida; Poales; Bromeliaceae. The record is from RNAcentral.